UAGGGAAUCUUCGGCAAUGGACGGAAGUCUGACCGAGCAACGCCGCGUGAGUGAAGAAGGUUUUCGGAUCGUAAAGCUCUGUUGUUAGAGAAGAACGUUGGUAGGAGUGGAAAAUCUACCAAGUGACGGUAACUAACCAGAAAGGGACGGCUAACUACGUGCCAGCAGCCGCGGUAAUACGUAGGUCCCGAGCGUUGUCCGGAUUUAUUGGGCGUAAAGCGAGCGCAGGCGGUUCUUUAAGUCUGAAGUUAAAGGCAGUGGCUUAACCAUUGUACGCUUUGGAAUCCGGAGGAGUUGAGUGCAGAAGGGGAGAGUGGAAUUCCAGGUGUAGCGGUGAAAUGCGUAGCUAUAUGUAGGAACACCGGUGGUGAAAGCGGCUCUCUUGUCUGUAACUGACGCUGAGGCUCGAAAGCGUGCGGAGCAAUCAGG
RNAcentral lists this ribosomal RNA (429 nucleotides) under Bacillota bacterium. RNAcentral's name for it is "Firmicutes bacterium partial 16S ribosomal RNA". It matches the Rfam family "Bacterial small subunit ribosomal RNA", at positions 355 to 776 of the family's 1533-position model. The record is from RNAcentral. Lineage: Bacteria; Bacillati; Bacillota.